This is a long non-coding RNA of Nanorana parkeri, 168 nucleotides long. RefSeq lists it as uncharacterized. The transcript has 3 exons. NCBI's taxonomy places the organism in Eukaryota, Metazoa, Chordata, Amphibia, Anura, Dicroglossidae. The record is from RefSeq and is a predicted model, not a curated record.
CACCCUGGAGAUCAUCUACCUGCUGACCGGAGAGGAACAUAACGUAGUCAAGAAAAUAUCUGGUGAGCCAUUAACACCCAGCAGAUGUCUUCACAGGACAUCACCCAUCACCGAGCCUCCACCUCACCGCCUGACCACAGAGGUAAAAUGUGCCAAGAAGAUUCUAGA